This 465-nucleotide ribosomal RNA is filed under the name uncultured Klebsiella sp. RNAcentral describes it as "bacterial SSU rRNA". It matches the Rfam family "Bacterial small subunit ribosomal RNA", at positions 338 to 795 of the family's 1533-position model. Lineage: Bacteria; Pseudomonadati; Pseudomonadota; Gammaproteobacteria; Enterobacterales; Enterobacteriaceae. The record is from RNAcentral.
CCUACGGGUGGCAGCAGUGGGGAAUAUUGCACAAUGGGCGCAAGCCUGAUGCAGCCAUGCCGCGUGUGUGAAGAAGGCCUUCGGGUUGUAAAGCACUUUCAGCGGGGAGGAAGGCGUUAAGGUUAAUAACCUUGGCGAUUGACGUUACCCGCAGAAGAAGCACCGGCUAACUCCGUGCCAGCAGCCGCGGUAAUACGGAGGGUGCAAGCGUUAAUCGGAAUUACUGGGCGGAAAGCGCACGCAGGCGGUCUGUCAAGUCGGAUGUGAAAUCCCCGGGCUCAACCUGGGAACUGCAUUCGAAACUGGCAGGCUAGAGUCUUGUAGAGGGGGGUAGAAUUCCAGGUGUAGCGGUGAAAUGCGUAGAGAUCUGGAGGAAUACCGGUGGCGAAGGCGGCCCCCUGGACAAAGACUGACGCUCAGGUGCGAAAGCGUGGGGAGCAAACAGGAUUAGAUACCCCAGUAGUC